ACUCCUACGGGAGGCAGCAGUGGGGAAUAUUGCACAAUGGGGGAAACCCUGAUGCAGCCAUGCCGCGUGUGUGAAGAAGGCCUUCGGGUUGUAAAGCACUUUCAGCGAGGAGGAAAGGUUGGCAGCUAAUAUCUGUCAGCUGUGACGUUACUCGCAGAAGAAGCACCGGCUAACUCCGUGCCAGCAGCCGCGGUAAUACGGAGGGUGCAGGCGUUAAUCGGAAUUACUGGGCGUAAAGCGCACGCAGGCGGUUGGAUAAGUUAGAUGUGAAAGCCCCGGGCUCAACCUGGGAAUUGCAUUUAAAACUGUUCAGCUAGAGUCUUGUAGAGGGGGGUAGAAUUCCAGGUGUAGCGGUGAAAUGCGUAGAGAUCUGGAGGAAUACCGGUGGCGAAGGCGGCCCCCUGGACAAAGACUGACGCUCAGGUGCGAAAGCGUGGGGAGCAAACAGGAUUAGAUACCCUGGUAGUCCACGCCGUAAACGAUGUCGAUUUGGAGGCUGUGUCCUUGAGACGUGGCUUCCGGAGCUAACGCGUUAAAUCGACCGCCUGGGGAGUACGGCCGCAAGGUUAAAACUCAAAUGAAUUGACGGGGGCCCGCACAAGCGGUGGAGCAUGUGGUUUAAUUCGAUGCAACGCGAAGAACCUUACCUGGCCUUGACAUGUCUGGAAUCCUGUAGAGAUACGGGAGUG
RNAcentral lists this ribosomal RNA (689 nucleotides) under uncultured Aeromonas sp. RNAcentral describes it as "bacterial SSU rRNA". It matches the Rfam family "Bacterial small subunit ribosomal RNA", at positions 335 to 1016 of the family's 1533-position model. Lineage: Bacteria; Pseudomonadati; Pseudomonadota; Gammaproteobacteria; Aeromonadales; Aeromonadaceae. The record is from RNAcentral.